GGAUGUUAGCGGCGGACGGGUGAGUAACACGUGGGUAACCUGCCUGUAAGACUGGGAUAACUCCGGGAAACCGGAGCUAAUACCGGAUAGUUCCUUGAACCGCAUGGUUCAAGGAUGAAAGACGGUUUCGGCUGUCACUUACAGAUGGACCCGCGGCGCAUUAGCUAGUUGGUGAGGUAACGGCUCACCAAGGCGACGAUGCGUAGCCGACCUGAGAGGGUGAUCGGCCACACUGGGACUGAGACACGGCCCAGACUCCUACGGGAGGCAGCAGUAGGGAAUCUUCCGCAAUGGACGAAAGUCUGACGGAGCAACGCCGCGUGAGUGAUGAAGGUUUUCGGAUCGUAAAGCUCUGUUGUUAGGGAAGAACAAGUGCAAGAGUAACUGCUUGCACCUUGACGGUACCUAACCAGAAAGCCACGGCUAACUACGUGCCAGCAGCCGCGGUAAUACGUAGGUGGCAAGCGUUGUCCGGAAUUAUUGGGCGUAAAGGGCUCGCAGGCGGUUUCUUAAGUCUGAUGUGAAAGCCCCCGGCUCAACCGGGGAGGGUCAUUGGAAACUGGGAAACUUGAGUGCAGAAGAGGAGAGUGGAAUUCCACGUGUAGCGGUGAAAUGCGUAGAGAUGUGGAGGAACACCAGUGGCGAAGGCGACUCUCUGGUCUGUAACUGACGCUGAGGAGCGAAAGCGU
RNAcentral lists this ribosomal RNA (689 nucleotides) under Bacillus altitudinis. RNAcentral describes it as "bacterial SSU rRNA". It matches the Rfam family "Bacterial small subunit ribosomal RNA", at positions 87 to 762 of the family's 1533-position model. The record is from RNAcentral. Lineage: Bacteria; Bacillati; Bacillota; Bacilli; Caryophanales; Bacillaceae.